GCAAUAUAGCCAAUUCCUGCCAUGAGAAAGAUUGUCCUAAUUAUUUUGGUUGUAGUUUUACUAGUUAACUCAAACAUUCCACAUGGACAAACACACAAACAACACAAAGUUCAAAGAAGCGCCGCUUCAUCAAAAUCUGGUAAGAGGCCUAAACUACCCGGUGAUGCAGUUUGUUCUGGUUGUAAAUACUUGAACAAGACAGAUUCAGUGAUAGUUCCGAAAGGUCCUUUGCUGCAAUCUCGUAAAUAUUUCAAACCCAAGGACGAUGUAAUUUGCGCUGCAUGCAAGAAAUUUCACGGAAGGAAAUCGCCAAAAUGUAAUCUUUUUUGUUUCACAGCUGAAAGUUUCAUUUAAAAUUUUUCUCCAGAUAUAGCCUGUUAAUUGAUGUACACUAAAUGCUUUUCUUAAAUAUGGUAUCAUUUCGUAU
Molecule: long non-coding RNA, 427 nt
Organism: Saccostrea cuccullata (small rock oyster)
Lineage: Eukaryota; Metazoa; Mollusca; Bivalvia; Ostreida; Ostreidae
Exons: 3
Source: RefSeq, a predicted model, not a curated record